AACGAACGCUGGCGGCAUGCCUAACACAUGCAAGUCGAACGAGACCUUCGGGUUUAGUGGCGCUCGGCUGCGUAACGCGUGGGAACCUGCCCUUAGGUUCGGAAUAACUCCCCGUAAGGGGUGCUAAUACCGGAUAAUGUCUUAGGACCAAAGAUUUAUCGCCUUUGGAUGGGCCCGCGUUGGAUUAGCUAGUUGGUAGUGUAAAAGCCUAGCAAGGCGACGUUCCAUAGCUGGUCUGAGAGGAUGAUCAGCCACACUGGGACUGAGACACGGCCCAGACUCCUACGGGAGGCAGCAGUGGGGAAUAUUGGACAAUGGACGAAAGCCUAAUCCAGCAAUGCCGCGUGUGUUAUGAAGGCCUUAGGGUUGUAAAGCUCUGUUACCCGGGAUGUUAAUGACAGUACCGGGUGAAUAAGCUCCGGCUAACUCCGUG
Molecule: ribosomal RNA, 433 nt
Filed under: uncultured bacterium
Lineage: Bacteria
Description: partial 16S ribosomal RNA
Rfam family: Bacterial small subunit ribosomal RNA
Source: RNAcentral